AGGGUUUGAUCAUGGCUCAGAACGUACGCUGGCGGCACGCCUAACACAUGCAAGUCGAACGAAGUAGCAAUACUUAGUGGCAGACGGGUGAGUAACAUGUAGGUAUCUGCCCUUUGGCCUGGAAUAACACGAGGAAACUUGUGCUAAUACCGGAUAAGUCUUUACGGAGAAAGCUUUAUGCACCAUUGGAUGAGCCUGCACUUGAUUAGUUUGUUGGUGGGGUAAUGGCCUACCAAGACUGUGAUCAAUAGCUGAUUUGAGAGGAUGAUCAGCCACAUUGGGACUGAGACACGGCCCAAACUCCUACGGGAGGCAGCAGUGGGGAAUCUUGCACAAUGGAGGAAACUCUGAUGCAGCGAUGCCGCGUGAGUGAAGAAGGCCCUUGGGUUGUAAAGCUCUUUCGUCGGGGAAGAAAAUGACUGUACCCGAAUAAGAAGGUCCGGCUAACUUCGUGCCAGCAGCCGCGGUAAUACGAAGGGACCUAGCGUAGUUCGGAAUUACUGGGCUUAAAGAGUUCGUAGGUGGUUGAAAAAGUUAGUGGUGAAAUCCCAGAGCUUAACUCUGGAACUGCCAUUAAAACUUUUCAGCUAGAGUAUGAUAGAGGAAAGCAGAAUUUCUAGUGUAGAGGUGAAAUUCGUAGAUAUUAGAAAGAAUACCAAUUGCGAAGGCAGCUUUCUGGAUCAUUACUGACACUGAUGAAACG
This 703-nucleotide ribosomal RNA is filed under the name alpha proteobacterium IMCC10409. Its description in RNAcentral is "bacterial SSU rRNA". It matches the Rfam family "Bacterial small subunit ribosomal RNA", at positions 8 to 755 of the family's 1533-position model. Lineage: Bacteria; Pseudomonadati; Pseudomonadota; Alphaproteobacteria. The record is from RNAcentral.